Molecule: RNase P RNA, 285 nt
Filed under: Limnobacter sp.
Lineage: Bacteria; Pseudomonadati; Pseudomonadota; Betaproteobacteria; Burkholderiales; Burkholderiaceae
Description: partial RNase P RNA component class A
Rfam family: Bacterial RNase P class A
About the family: Ribonuclease P (RNase P) is a ubiquitous endoribonuclease, found in archaea, bacteria and eukarya as well as chloroplasts and mitochondria. Its best characterised activity is the generation of mature 5'-ends of tRNAs by cleaving the 5'-leader elements of precursor-tRNAs. Cellular RNase Ps are ribonucleoproteins.
Source: RNAcentral
GGAAAGUGCAACAGAAAACACACCGCCGAUGGAAAGGCAACUUUCACAGGCAAGGGCGAACCGGAGGUGUAAGAGACCCCCGCAGGCUUGGCAACAAGGCUGGCUAGGUAAACCCCACUUGGAGCAACACCAAAUAGGCGCGCAGGCGCUUUAAGCGCCAACGGCGCUCCCCGAGCGCGCGGGUAGGUGGCUUGAGCUGAAGAGUAAUUUUCAGCCUAGAGGAAUGAUUGUCACUUUGGCUGCAAGGCCAUUGAACAGAAUCCGGCUUACAGGCGCGCUUUCUAC